CCUACGGGAGGCAGCAGUGGGGAAUAUUGGGCAAUGGAGGAAACUCUGACCCAGCAACGCCGCGUGAAUGAUGAAGGUCCUCUGAUUGUAAAGCUUUUUUUUACGGGAAGAAGAAAGUGCCGCUACCUUAGGAUUAAGCCUAGGCUAACUACGCGCCAGCAGCCGCUGCAUUACGUAGGCCGCGAGCGUUAUCCGGAAUGGCUGGGGGUAAAGGGUGCGUAGGUGGUUUGGCAAGUUAGUAGCGAAACUAUCAGGCUCAACCGUGGAACUGCUACUGAAACUGGUGGACUUGAGUGCAGGAGAGGCAUCCGGAAUGCGUGGUGUAGCGGUGGAAUGCGUAGAUAUUAGGAAGAACACCAGUGGCGAAGGCAGGUUGCUGGACUGUAACUGACACUGAGGCACGAAAGCGUGGGGAGCAAACAGGAUUAGAUACCCUUGUAGUC
Molecule: ribosomal RNA, 443 nt
Filed under: uncultured bacterium
Lineage: Bacteria
Description: partial 16S ribosomal RNA
Rfam family: Bacterial small subunit ribosomal RNA
Source: RNAcentral